GGCUACUGCUAUCGGGGUUCGAUUAAGCCAUGCGAGUUAAAUGUUCUUCGUGAACAUAGCGAACUGCUCAGUAACACGUGGAUAACCUACCCUUAGGACCGGAAUAACCCCGGGAAACUGGGGAUAAUACCGGAUAAGCCAUAGACGCUGGAAUGCCCUAUGGUUCAAAGCUCCGGCGCCUAAGGAUGGAUCUGCGGUCUAUCAGGUUGUAGUGGGUGUAACGUACCUACUAGCCGACGACGGAUACGGGUUGUGAGAGCAAGAGCCUGGAGAUGGAUUCUGAGACACGAAUCCAGGCCCUACGGGGUGCAGCAGGCGCGAACACUUUACAAUGCGGGAAACCGCGAUAAGGGAACCCCGAGUGCCAGCAUCAAAUGUUGGCUGUCCAGAUGAUUAAAAAUCAUUUGUUAGCAAGGGCCGGGCAAGACCGGUGCCAGCCGCCGCGGUAACACCGGCGGCCCGAGUGGUAGCCGUUUUUAUUGGGUCUAAAGGGUCCGUAGCCGGCUUGAUAAGUCCUUUGGGAAAUCUGGCAGCUUAACUGUCAGGCUUCUAAGGGAUACUGUCAGGCUUGGGACCGGGAGAGGUAAGGGGUACUCCAGGGGUAGGAGUGAAAUCUUGUAAUCCCUGGGGGACCAUCUGUGGCGAAGGCGCCUUACCAGAACGGGUCCGACGGUGAGGGACGAAAGCUAGGGGAGCAAACCGGAUUAGAUACCCGGGUAGUCCUAGCUGUAAACGAUGCUCGCUAGGUGUCAGACACGGUGCGACCGUGUUUGGUGCCGCAGGGAAGCCGUUAAGCGAGCCACCUGGGAAGUACGGUCGCAAGGCUGAAAC
Molecule: ribosomal RNA, 831 nt
Filed under: uncultured archaeon
Lineage: Archaea
Description: bacterial SSU rRNA
Rfam family: Archaeal small subunit ribosomal RNA
Source: RNAcentral